This is a long non-coding RNA of Esox lucius (northern pike), 8853 nucleotides long. RefSeq lists it as uncharacterized. Lineage: Eukaryota; Metazoa; Chordata; Actinopteri; Esociformes; Esocidae. The record is from RefSeq and is a predicted model, not a curated record. The transcript is spliced from 3 exons.
CGAAAGAUGGGCUCGGUAUCACUGAGAUAGACGAGAAAUUCACCAGGAAUCUCAGCAACUUUUGUUUUCAUAAUUCAUACAGUCCAAAUGCCGGAGCACAAAACAACACAGGCAACGUGGAUGUUUUAAUGCAUUGAACAGUAUACGAAUAUAAACCAAAGAACGUUUUUUUCAGUUAACUUUCCCAAUUUGUGUUUUUAAUGAAACCAUACAAUUGACAGGAGGUUAAACUAUAGAUUGUCCAAUAUUAUUUGAAGUGAUUUGUGUGCACAUGGCUUUCACCGUUUAGCUUUGAUAUUCAUUCAAAUGUGUAAAAACAUACUGUAGCAGUAACACUGAAACCGCCCGUUGUAGGUGGAUGCCACUUAGAUGUUGAGGUAGAAACAUAGGUCCCCGAGUUUUGCCUUAUUUUCAGAUUUCACUCGGGAUGUGAAACACCUUGAUUAAGAUGAUCAAAUGAAUACUUCAUUGCCAGUGAAGGGGAAUGCGACGGUUUCCUUUUGCAGUUCAAGUGGUAGUAAGCAAGGACCAUUCGGCAGUGCGGAAUGUCCGUCCGCACCGGGUCCAGCCCCCCACUCUUCAAUGCGUGGUCCACUGCCCGACCCAAAGGCAAGGGGAACACGGUCAGCCAGCUCGUGUCUGAGAGACCCGAAGGCAAGGGGAAUGCGAGCAGGAACUCGCUCGUGUCGGGGAGAGAUAUCACGAGAUAGGAGAGAAAUUCACUCGGUGUCUCAUGAGUCUUUCAGCCACUGAUCAACAAGCGACCAACUUUUGUUUUGAUAGUAAGUGCAGUCCGAAUGUCGGAGGACAAAAUAACACAGACAAAGUGGAUUCAUGUUUUUCUUUUAUUAGAUAAUAGACUAUUCCAAUAUACACCAAAGAACAUAAGCACAUUUUUUUAAAGCCAUUUCACCAAUUUGUGUGUUUAAUGAAAUCAAACAAAAGACAAGAGGUUAAACAAUAGAUUGUCCUAUUUCAUUAGAAAAUAUUUGUGGCCACAUAGCAUACUCUAUUUACAAGUGACAAAAAUGUCCAUAUGUAAAAACGUAUUGUUGCAGUAAGGUUCAACCCAUCCGUUGUUGAAAACCACUGUAAUGUUGAGAUUAAAGUCUAUGUUCCCAAAUAAUAUCCUCUUCUCAUAUUUGACUCGGCGCUGGAGUCCUCCUUGUUAACGUUCAAGUUUUCCAAUAUACACCAAAGAACAUAAGCACAUUUUUUUUAAAGCCAUUUCACCAAUUUGUGUGUUUAAUGAAAUCAAACAAAAGACAAGAGGUUAAACAAUAGAUUGUCCUAUUUCAUUAGAAAAUAUUUGUGGCCACAUAGCAUACUCUAUUUACAAGUGACAAAAAUGUCCAUAUGUAAAAACGUAUUGUUGCAGUAAGGUUCAACCCAUCCGUUGUUGAAAACCACUGUAAUGUUGAGAUUAAAGUCUAUGUCCCCAAAUAAUAUCCUCUUCUCAUAUUUGACUCGGCGCUGGAGUCCUCCUUGUUGAAGUUUUACGAACUGAUGGUUGAAUUCGAACCCAACGUCACGUGGACCACAGAAGGUGGGUGUUUCCUUCUCUGCUGGCGAGGUAGAAUACAAGGGAGAGUCCGCUUCGUUGAAACAUGCAGCAAGGAGAAGUGCGAUGAUAGAAAUCCACUUCAUUGUGCCGGUUGGUAGGCUUGGCUUCAAAUCUUCUCUCCUGGUUGCUGGUAAACGCGAUGAACUGGUUGUUCUUUUCUCGGAUGAAGGUUUUCCGAUGAAGGUUUUCCGAUGGAGUUUAUGAAUAUAUUUUUCGAAGUCCAGUAUGUCAAAACAAUGUCUAAGAUCGAUGUCGAUUGUCCUUUCUGUGGAUAUAGCUGAUCCUUUCCUCACACUUCUCCGCAGGACUUCAACUUGAGUUUAUGUAUAUAUUUUUCGGUUUCCAGUGUUUGUAAUGUCGAUUGUCCAACCGCGGUCCUUUUCGCCGAAGACUCGGAAGGUUUUCGGUUGGCGUUUAUGUUAGAGAGUUGUCGAUUUUCCUAGCUCUGUAUACAGCCUACCGGUCCUUUCCUCAGACUUCUCCGCAGGACUUCAACUUGAGUUUAUGAAUAUAUUUUUCGAUUUACAGUAUGUAAAAACAAUGUUUAGGAGAGAUGUCGAUUGACCUAGCUCUGUAUACAGACUACCUGUCCUUUCCUCAGACUUCUCCGGAGCACUUCAACGUACGUUUUUUAAUAUGUAUUUUCUUCGAUUUCAAGUAUGUAAAAACGAUUUCAAAGAUAUCUGUCGAUUGUCCUAGCUCUGUAUAGUCUACGGUCCUCUCCAUGGCCCUGACCACUAUAGAGACUUUUUCAUGAAAUCGUGUUGUUUUUUCACACGAACCUCUGGAGUCGACAGAACAAUGAUAUAUACCAUGUAAUCAGUUGUAUAUGGAUUUUGUGUUAAUUGAUGAAACGUCAAACCAGGUUACCUGAGUCUAAGGCCUCAUAUUAUUAUUCUAAUUAGUCUAUUUGUCUUUGAUUCUUUUACAUUUGAUCUCCAAGAGAGACUGCUGAACAAUAAAGUACACAGUUCGGACUUCUGUGUGUGUGCGUCAAGGACGGCGGGUGCAUUUUUUAUCUGUAGCCUACUCUUGCUCCGGCUCCACUAUUAUCCCUAUGUUCAGUGCAGUGAGUGGUGGUUGUUUUAAUUUAAUAUAAAGGACAGAUGGACCUAUGGUUAGUUUCAAGUCUCGAUUUUCAAAGUUUAUUCAGCAAAUGCAUCGAAUAACACAGCGUCAUCCUGAACAAUGAAAUUCUUGUGACAUGGCCCACCGAAAGUAAGAACUUCCGAAAUAUGUCAAGUAAAAAUAUUGUUCGUGACUCUUGGAAGAGUUUGAUAAAUCACACCCCCCAUCGAUUCACUGUACCAAUCACAUAACGCCACCCAUCAGACCACCAAUCACAUCACGCCACCCAAUAUUUACCAUCAGUGGCUUGGGGACGGACCCAAAGUGAUGUGAAACAAGGUGAAUGCGAGCAGGAACUCGCUCGUGUCGGGGAGAGAUAUCACGAGAUAGGAGGGAAAUUCACUCGGUGUCUCAUGAGUCUUUCAGCCACUGAUCAACAAGCGACCAACUUUUGUUUUGAUAGUAAGUGCAGUCCGAAUGUCGGAGGACAAAAUAACACAGACAAGGUGGAUUCAUGUUUUUCCUUUAUUAGAUAGACUAUUCCAAUAUACACCAAAGAACAUAAGCACAUUUUUUAAAGUAAUUUCCCCAAUUUGUGUGUUUAAUGAAAUCAAACAAAAGACAAGAGGUUAAACAAUAGAUUGUCCUAUUUCAUUAGAAAAUAUUUGUGGCCACAUAGCUUACUCUAUUUACAAGUGACAAAAAUGUCCAUAUGUAAAAACGUAUUGUUGCAGUAAGGUUCAACCCAUCCGUUGUUGAAAACCACUGUAAUGUUGAGAUUAAAGUCUAUGUCCCCAAAUAAUAUCCUCUUCUCAUAUUUGACUCGGCGCUGGAGUCCUCCUUGUUCAAGUUUAACGAAUUGAUGGUUGAAUUCGAACCCAACGUCACGUGAACCAUAGAAGGUGGGUGUUUCCUUCUCUGCUGGCGAGGUAGAAUUCAAGGGAGAGUCGGCUUCGUUGAAACAUACAGCAAGGAAAAGUGCGAUGAUAGAAAUCCACUUCAUUGUGCCGGUUGUUAGGCUUGGCUUCAGAUCUUGUCUCUAUAGUGGUCAGGGCCAUGGAGAGGACCGUAGACUAUACAGCGCUAGGACAAUCGACAGAUAUCUUUGAAAUCGUUUUUACAUACUUGAAAUCGAAGAAUAUACAUAUUAAAAAACUUCCCUAAACUUGGUGGAAGUUUAGGGAAGGGCCCGUCCAGAGAUUGGCAUAAUGGGAAGGCCUAAUAUCACCGUAUAACCAUACUAUAUAAACGUGUGUUUCCGAUGCUUGGGAGCCAGUUGUUCUCCAGACCAACAUGGGUUGUUACUCUGCAGACAUGUGUUGCUUUAUGACCUUAAUAAAGUCAACUUUUGAAUUCACAUACUCCUGAGUCUUUUCAGCUUUUUGGCUGGAAAAGGGUAACAUUUUCCACAGCACCAGGUAUUUCUAGUGCGAGAUAUUGUCAUGCUCUCUCUGUGGUCAUAUUUAUGCACUGUAGUUGCUCCCACAAUUUAAAAGGUAGACGAGGUUUAGGUUAAUGGAACAGGUGUGACUAGGCCAGAAAGACAGAUGAAGUAUUUGACAGGCAACCAAUGGGACGAAGCACGGAGAGAGCAGAUGACUGGAAUAUGAGAGACUGUUGCGUUUAAACUGGCCUCAGCUGAAGAGUUUCCAGUCUGCACCGCUCCGCACAACCGCGUCCAGCUGCCCACGAUCUCCAAUGCGUAAUCCACUGCUUGGCACCGACCCCCGAUGUCCGUCCGCACCGCGUCCAGCCCCCCACUCUCCUAUGCAUGGUCUACUGCCCGGAACCGACCCCCGAUGUCCGUCCGCACCGCGUCCAGCCGCCCACUCUCCACUUCCAACCUGAGUGUGAGAGCAGCGACCCUGAAUGGCGAAAGAUGGGCUCGGUAUCACUGAGAUAGACGAGAAAUUCACCAGGAAUCUCAGCAACUUUUGUUUUCAUAAUUCAUACAGUCCAAAUGCCGGAGCACAAAACAACACAGGCAACGUGGAUGUUUUAAUGCAUUGAACAGUAUACGAAUAUAAACCAAAGAACGUUUUUUUCAGUUAACUUUCCCAAUUUGUGUUUUUAAUGAAACCAUACAAUUGACAGGAGGUUAAACUAUAGAUUGUCCAAUAUUAUUUGAAGUGAUUUGUGUGCACAUGGCUUUCACCGUUUAGCUUUGAUAUUCAUUCAAAUGUGUAAAAACAUACUGUAGCAGUAACACUGAAACCGCCCGUUGUAGGUGGAUGCCACUUAGAUGUUGAGGUAGAAACAUAGGUCCCCGAGUUUUGCCUUAUUUUCAGAUUUCACUCGGGAUGUGAAACACCUUGAUUAAGAUGAUCAAAUGAAUACUUCAUUGCCAGUGAAGGGGAAUGCGACGGUUUCCUUUUGCAGUUCAAGUGGUAGUAAGCAAGGACCAUUCGGCAGUGCGGAAUGUCCGUCCGCACCGGGUCCAGCCCCCCACUCUUCAAUGCGUGGUCCACUGCCCGACCCAAAGGCAAGGGGAACACGGUCAGCCAGCUCGUGUCUGAGAGACCCGAAGGCAAGGGGAAUGCGAGCAGGAACUCGCUCGUGUCGGGGAGAGAUAUCACGAGAUAGGAGAGAAAUUCACUCGGUGUCUCAUGAGUCUUUCAGCCACUGAUCAACAAGCGACCAACUUUUGUUUUGAUAGUAAGUGCAGUCCGAAUGUCGGAGGACAAAAUAACACAGACAAAGUGGAUUCAUGUUUUUCUUUUAUUAGAUAAUAGACUAUUCCAAUAUACACCAAAGAACAUAAGCACAUUUUUUUAAAGCCAUUUCACCAAUUUGUGUGUUUAAUGAAAUCAAACAAAAGACAAGAGGUUAAACAAUAGAUUGUCCUAUUUCAUUAGAAAAUAUUUGUGGCCACAUAGCAUACUCUAUUUACAAGUGACAAAAAUGUCCAUAUGUAAAAACGUAUUGUUGCAGUAAGGUUCAACCCAUCCGUUGUUGAAAACCACUGUAAUGUUGAGAUUAAAGUCUAUGUUCCCAAAUAAUAUCCUCUUCUCAUAUUUGACUCGGCGCUGGAGUCCUCCUUGUUAACGUUCAAGUUUUCCAAUAUACACCAAAGAACAUAAGCACAUUUUUUUUAAAGCCAUUUCACCAAUUUGUGUGUUUAAUGAAAUCAAACAAAAGACAAGAGGUUAAACAAUAGAUUGUCCUAUUUCAUUAGAAAAUAUUUGUGGCCACAUAGCAUACUCUAUUUACAAGUGACAAAAAUGUCCAUAUGUAAAAACGUAUUGUUGCAGUAAGGUUCAACCCAUCCGUUGUUGAAAACCACUGUAAUGUUGAGAUUAAAGUCUAUGUCCCCAAAUAAUAUCCUCUUCUCAUAUUUGACUCGGCGCUGGAGUCCUCCUUGUUGAAGUUUUACGAACUGAUGGUUGAAUUCGAACCCAACGUCACGUGGACCACAGAAGGUGGGUGUUUCCUUCUCUGCUGGCGAGGUAGAAUACAAGGGAGAGUCCGCUUCGUUGAAACAUGCAGCAAGGAGAAGUGCGAUGAUAGAAAUCCACUUCAUUGUGCCGGUUGGUAGGCUUGGCUUCAAAUCUUCUCUCCUGGUUGCUGGUAAACGCGAUGAACUGGUUGUUCUUUUCUCGGAUGAAGGUUUUCCGAUGAAGGUUUUCCGAUGGAGUUUAUGAAUAUAUUUUUCGAAGUCCAGUAUGUCAAAACAAUGUCUAAGAUCGAUGUCGAUUGUCCUUUCUGUGGAUAUAGCUGAUCCUUUCCUCACACUUCUCCGCAGGACUUCAACUUGAGUUUAUGUAUAUAUUUUUCGGUUUCCAGUGUUUGUAAUGUCGAUUGUCCAACCGCGGUCCUUUUCGCCGAAGACUCGGAAGGUUUUCGGUUGGCGUUUAUGUUAGAGAGUUGUCGAUUUUCCUAGCUCUGUAUACAGCCUACCGGUCCUUUCCUCAGACUUCUCCGCAGGACUUCAACUUGAGUUUAUGAAUAUAUUUUUCGAUUUACAGUAUGUAAAAACAAUGUUUAGGAGAGAUGUCGAUUGACCUAGCUCUGUAUACAGACUACCUGUCCUUUCCUCAGACUUCUCCGGAGCACUUCAACGUACGUUUUUUAAUAUGUAUUUUCUUCGAUUUCAAGUAUGUAAAAACGAUUUCAAAGAUAUCUGUCGAUUGUCCUAGCUCUGUAUAGUCUACGGUCCUCUCCAUGGCCCUGACCACUAUAGAGACUUUUUCAUGAAAUCGUGUUGUUUUUUCACACGAACCUCUGGAGUCGACAGAACAAUGAUAUAUACCAUGUAAUCAGUUGUAUAUGGAUUUUGUGUUAAUUGAUGAAACGUCAAACCAGGUUACCUGAGUCUAAGGCCUCAUAUUAUUAUUCUAAUUAGUCUAUUUGUCUUUGAUUCUUUUACAUUUGAUCUCCAAGAGAGACUGCUGAACAAUAAAGUACACAGUUCGGACUUCUGUGUGUGUGCGUCAAGGACGGCGGGUGCAUUUUUUAUCUGUAGCCUACUCUUGCUCCGGCUCCACUAUUAUCCCUAUGUUCAGUGCAGUGAGUGGUGGUUGUUUUAAUUUAAUAUAAAGGACAGAUGGACCUAUGGUUAGUUUCAAGUCUCGAUUUUCAAAGUUUAUUCAGCAAAUGCAUCGAAUAACACAGCGUCAUCCUGAACAAUGAAAUUCUUGUGACAUGGCCCACCGAAAGUAAGAACUUCCGAAAUAUGUCAAGUAAAAAUAUUGUUCGUGACUCUUGGAAGAGUUUGAUAAAUCACACCCCCCAUCGAUUCACUGUACCAAUCACAUAACGCCACCCAUCAGACCACCAAUCACAUCACGCCACCCAAUAUUUACCAUCAGUGGCUUGGGGACGGACCCAAAGUGAUGUGAAACAAGGUGAAUGCGAGCAGGAACUCGCUCGUGUCGGGGAGAGAUAUCACGAGAUAGGAGGGAAAUUCACUCGGUGUCUCAUGAGUCUUUCAGCCACUGAUCAACAAGCGACCAACUUUUGUUUUGAUAGUAAGUGCAGUCCGAAUGUCGGAGGACAAAAUAACACAGACAAGGUGGAUUCAUGUUUUUCCUUUAUUAGAUAGACUAUUCCAAUAUACACCAAAGAACAUAAGCACAUUUUUUAAAGUAAUUUCCCCAAUUUGUGUGUUUAAUGAAAUCAAACAAAAGACAAGAGGUUAAACAAUAGAUUGUCCUAUUUCAUUAGAAAAUAUUUGUGGCCACAUAGCUUACUCUAUUUACAAGUGACAAAAAUGUCCAUAUGUAAAAACGUAUUGUUGCAGUAAGGUUCAACCCAUCCGUUGUUGAAAACCACUGUAAUGUUGAGAUUAAAGUCUAUGUCCCCAAAUAAUAUCCUCUUCUCAUAUUUGACUCGGCGCUGGAGUCCUCCUUGUUCAAGUUUAACGAAUUGAUGGUUGAAUUCGAACCCAACGUCACGUGAACCAUAGAAGGUGGGUGUUUCCUUCUCUGCUGGCGAGGUAGAAUUCAAGGGAGAGUCGGCUUCGUUGAAACAUACAGCAAGGAAAAGUGCGAUGAUAGAAAUCCACUUCAUUGUGCCGGUUGUUAGGCUUGGCUUCAGAUCUUGUCUCUAUAGUGGUCAGGGCCAUGGAGAGGACCGUAGACUAUACAGCGCUAGGACAAUCGACAGAUAUCUUUGAAAUCGUUUUUACAUACUUGAAAUCGAAGAAUAUACAUAUUAAAAAACUUCCCUAAACUUGGUGGAAGUUUAGGGAAGGGCCCGUCCAGAGAUUGGCAUAAUGGGAAGGCCUAAUAUCACCGUAUAACCAUACUAUAUAAACGUGUGUUUCCGAUGCUUGGGAGCCAGUUGUUCUCCAGACCAACAUGGGUUGUUACUCUGCAGACAUGUGUUGCUUUAUGACCUUAAUAAAGUCAACUUUUGAAUUCACAUACUCCUGAGUCUUUUCAGCUUUUUGGCUGGAAAAGGGUAACAUUUUCCACAGCACCAGGUAUUUCUAGUGCGAGAUAUUGUCAUGCUCUCUCUGUGGUCAUAUUUAUGCACUGUAGUUGCUCCCACAAUUUAAAAGGUAGACGAGGUUUAGGUUAAUGGAACAGGUGUGACUAGGCCAGAAAGACAGAUGAAGUAUUUGACAGGCAACCAAUGGGACGAAGCACGGAGAGAGCAGAUGACUGGAAUAUGAGAGACUGUUGCGUUUAAACUGGCCUCAGCUGAAGAGUUUCCAGUCUGCACCGCUCCGCACAACCGCGUCCAGCUGCCCACGAUCUCCAAUGCGUAAUCCACUGCUU